This 450-nucleotide ribosomal RNA is filed under the name uncultured Leptolinea sp. RNAcentral's name for it is "bacterial SSU rRNA". It matches the Rfam family "Bacterial small subunit ribosomal RNA", at positions 917 to 1381 of the family's 1533-position model. The record is from RNAcentral. Lineage: Bacteria; Bacillati; Chloroflexota; Anaerolineae; Anaerolineales; Anaerolineaceae.
GACGGGCCCGCACAAGCAGCGGAGCGUGUGGUUAAUUCGAUGUUACACGAAGAACCUUACCAGGGUUUGACAUGCAAGUGGUAGGAAGCCGAAGGUGACCGACCUUCGGGGAGCUUGCACAGGUGCUGCAUGGCUGUCGUCAGCUCGUGUCGUGAGAUGUUCGGUUAAGUCCGCUAACGAGCGCAACCCUCGCUGUGUGUUAUAUGUGUCACACGGGACUGCCGGUCUUAAGCCGGAGGAAGGUGGGGAUGACGUCAAGUCAGCAUGGCCCUUACAUCCUGGGCUACACACACGCUACAAUGGGUGAUACAACAGGUUGCAAUAGAGUAAUCUGGAGCCAAUCCCUAAAAUCAUCCUCAGUACGGAUUGCAGGCUGCAACUGCCUGCAUGAAGUUGGAGUUGCUAGUAAACGCAGGUCAGCACACUGCGUUGAAUACGUUCUCGGGCCUU